RNAcentral lists this ribosomal RNA (468 nucleotides) under uncultured bacterium. RNAcentral's name for it is "partial 16S ribosomal RNA". It matches the Rfam family "Bacterial small subunit ribosomal RNA", at positions 28 to 507 of the family's 1533-position model. The record is from RNAcentral.
GACGAACGCUGGCGGCGUGCUUAACACAUGCAAGUCGAACGGAAAGGCCCUGCUUUUGUGGGGUGCUCGAGUGGCGAACGGGUGAGUAACACGUGAGUAACCUGCCCUUGACUUUGGGAUAACUUCAGGAAACUGGGGCUAAUACCGGAUAGGAGCUCCUGCUGCAUGGUGGGGGUUGGAAAGUUUCGGCGGUUGGGGAUGGACUCGCGGCUUAUCAGCUUGUUGGUGGGGUAGUGGCUUACCAAGGCUUUGACGGGUAGCCGGCCUGAGAGGGUGACCGGCCACAGUGGGACUGAGAUACGGCCCAGACUCCUACGGGAGGCAGCAGUGGGGAAUAUUGCACAAUGGGCGGAAGCCUGAUGCAGAAACGCCGCGUGCGGGAUGACGGCCUUCGGGUUGUAAACCGCUUUCGCCUGUGACGAAGCGUGAGUGACGGUAAUGGGUACAGAAGCACCGGCUAACUACGUG